RNAcentral lists this ribosomal RNA (467 nucleotides) under uncultured bacterium. RNAcentral's name for it is "partial 16S ribosomal RNA". It matches the Rfam family "Bacterial small subunit ribosomal RNA", at positions 28 to 507 of the family's 1533-position model. The record is from RNAcentral.
GACGAACGCUGGCGGCGUGCUUAAUACAUGCAAGUCGAACGGACAGGCCCUGCUCUUGUGCGGUUCUCGAGUGGCGAACGGGUGAGUAACACGUGAGGAUCUCCCCCUUACUUUGGGAUAACAUCAGGAAACAGGGGCUAAUAACGGCGAGGAGUAUCUUCUACAGCGUGGGGCUUGGAAAGAUUCCGCCGUUGUGGAUGGUUUUGCGGCUUAUCGGCUGGUUGGAGGGGGAGGGGCUGACAAAGGCUUUGACAGGUAGCCAGCCGUAGAAGGUGGCCGGGCACCUUGGGCCUGCGAUACGGACCAGACGCCUACGGGCGGCAGCAGUGGGAAAUCUUGCGCAAUGGGCGGACGCCUGAGGCAGCGAUGCCGCGUGCGGGAUGCCGGGCUUCGGGUUGUAAACAGCUUUGGCAUGUGACGAGGCGUGAGUGACGGUAAUGAGUAAGGAAGCCCCGGCUAACUACGUG